UGUUAGUUGGUAUCAUUAUUUAAUUUCAUCUUCCCAAGAGGCCUGUGAUAUAAGUAUUCUUACACCCUUUUCAGGUGAAGAAACCAAGGUUUCCUUGCACUAAGUAACCUACUCUGAAAUUAUUGCAACAGAAAUUGAACCCAUCACUGACUGAUUUCAAAGCUCUGUCCCUUUUGCUAUGUAUAAUAAAAUUCUGCCUCUUUGGCCCAACUGUACCUAUGUUUCCUCUGCAAAAUGCUAUGGGACAGAUGUUCUGCAAGGACCUUUAUACUCUUGAAUGAUAUAAUUCCAUCCUCUUCAUUCUAAAUGUGGGAAUAUAAAACUUACUCAGCUUUUUAAAGACUUAAUAAGUCUUCCUCCAAUAAAUGUUCACACUAACUUUGACUCGGUAUAAUUGAUACUUUUAUAUGUAAAAGAUAUAAAAAGAGUGAAUAUAGUAUAAUUGGCCGUAGGGAGCAAAGCAUUAUGUACCUGUUUUCUGUAGGCAUCAUAUUUUCAGAAAACUCCUGUUUAAAAUCUAAAUUCUUUUAUUUCUUUAUUUUUUAAAAUUCUGAUUAUACAACAGAACACAAAUGAAAUAAUUCAUAAUCCAUGCUGUGUUGAAAGAAGAAAGGGAUUCAACAAGAACAACUGAGCCCAACAGCAGUCACUGUGGGCAUGUUACACCUGAAGGAGCCAGGAGUACAAAAGGUCAUUAACUUAAUCCCGUUGUACUCUUCCUGGGUUGGCUAAAUAGUCAACACAGCAACAUCUAACACUGAGCUUCCUUCAUUUGUCACAUACAUUUGAAGUUCAAAGAUGUGAGUCUCGCAAUGAUUCGAAAAAUAAUUAUUUGCCUUCUUUGGUGCCAUAAUGCUUUAAUGUUUUUCUCUCUUGAACAGCAAGACCAGUUCUGGAGAGAUUUGGCAGGUCUAUGCUGGAGCUCAACGGUAAUACCUUUCAAGUGGCAAAUUCCGUUUUAUAUUUAUGGAUACAGCUGCCUUAGUCAUAAUUGUGGCCCUAGAAAAAGACAUUUCAAUUGCAUGUGAGUAAAACUUGUGACUCUAAUGCAUUUACAUGAUCAAAGGAAAAAUAGAAGGAUAUGUUAGCUGUCACAGUAUAAAAGACUUGUGCUUUCUUUUUAGUUAUCUGUACAUUUGUUCUAAUUAUUCUUGUUUUUCUUCUCUCCAUUAGAUGAAUGAUUCGUCUUUUUUUAUUUCACUGUUUUUUAUAUUCGUGCUCAAAAAUGAUUUUCAAAAUAAGAUGUUCCAGCAGUGGUUAAAUAAAGCAUCUUAUUUUGCUUGUCCAACACUUUCCACUAUUUUUCUGGGGAACUCACCUUUCUCCCUUCCAAAGAUGUGACUAUAAUGAGAGCUUCCAUGAUGACGAUGAACAUAAUAAAUCAAAAAUGCUACUCACUAUUUAAUUGUGCAUCUCCCAUAUACCUGAUCCUACGCUAAUCGCUUCAUGUACAUUAAUUCAGUUCAUCAAUUCAGUUAAUAUUCACAAGUUGGGAAUUCGUAUUUCUUCCAUGUUACAGAUGAGGAAAGGGAGACCUAGAAAACUCAAGUAGCUUUUCCAAUAUCACACAUCAAGUAAAUGGUGGGGCCUCAACAUGUUCUUAUAUUACCUUCCCUUCCUAGUGACAGUGCUUAUUUU
RNAcentral lists this long non-coding RNA (1638 nucleotides) under Callithrix jacchus (white-tufted-ear marmoset). RNAcentral describes it as "lncRNA (ENSCJAG00000082407.1)". The record is from RNAcentral. Lineage: Eukaryota; Metazoa; Chordata; Mammalia; Primates; Cebidae.